RNAcentral lists this long non-coding RNA (488 nucleotides) under Lynx canadensis (Canada lynx). Its description in RNAcentral is "lncRNA (ENSLCNG00005002647.1)". The record is from RNAcentral. Lineage: Eukaryota; Metazoa; Chordata; Mammalia; Carnivora; Felidae.
AAAUAUAAUGUAAGACAAAAAAAGUCAAGAUCACAUAUAAAAUGUGAUCUUCACCUAACACUGAUCGAUGUCUUUGCCGUGCAAAAAGCUUGCAGGCAAGAUCAGUGAUUCUUUACAAAUAGUUCAUUGAGAUUUCUUAAAAAGUCAGGGCAGCACAGAGGCUGCUGCUCCACGAUUCUGCUAGUCUCAGUGGUCUCCUUACAAAGACGGGCGGCUGGAGGCUGCCAGCUCACUUUAAGAGCAGCUUUGUGAAAAACAACCCCAGUGCGCAUGCGCACGCCGCGGCUGCUGUCCGCCCUCCCUGCGCGUCCCCUCCCGCGCCCGGCUCGCUCCCUCGCUCGCUCGCGGGUACAGUAGGUGUACAGCUAAGGGAAGAAGACACGGGCUGUCGGGAGGCUGAACCUGACUUCUCUUCAUUGUGGGCUCCUAUUGGCUUUUCUGCAAAUGAAGAGGAAGGAGAGAAGAACCUUUUAGAAAGAGUCGCUUGA